RNAcentral lists this ribosomal RNA (447 nucleotides) under uncultured bacterium. RNAcentral describes it as "bacterial SSU rRNA". It matches the Rfam family "Bacterial small subunit ribosomal RNA", at positions 355 to 825 of the family's 1533-position model. The record is from RNAcentral.
UCGGGAAUUUUGGGCAAUGGGCGAAAGCCUGACCCAGCAACGCCGCGUGAAGGAUGAAGUAUUUCGGUAUGUAAACUUCGAAAGAAUGGGAAGAAUCAAUGACGGUACCAUUUAUAAGGUCCGGCUAACUACGUGCCAGCAGCCGCGGUAAUACGUAGGGACCAAGCGUUGUUCGGAUUUACUGGGCGUAAAGCGUGCGCAGGCGGUUUGGUAAGACAGAUGUGAAAUCCCCGGACUUAACCUGGGAACUGCAUUUGUGACUGCCAGACUAGAGUGUAGCAGAGGGGGGUAGAAUUCCACGUGUAGCAGUGAAAUGCGUAGAUAUGUGGAGGAAUACCGAUGGCGAAGGCAGCCCCCUGGGCUAACACUGACGCUCAUGCACGAAAGCGUGGGGAGCAAACAGGAUUAGAUACCCCCGUAGUCCCUGAGCGGGCUGGCAAGGCGCAU